Synechococcus sp. RS9916 is the source of this 74-nucleotide transfer RNA. It matches the Rfam family "tRNA". Rfam says of the family: Transfer RNA (tRNA) molecules are approximately 80 nucleotides in length. Their secondary structure includes four short double-helical elements and three loops (D, anti-codon, and T loops). The record is from Rfam. NCBI's taxonomy places the organism in Bacteria, Bacillati, Cyanobacteriota, Cyanophyceae, Synechococcales, Synechococcaceae.
CGGGGUAUAGCGCAGUUUGGUAGCGCGCCUGCUUUGGGAGCAGGAUGCCGGGGGUUCAAAUCCCUCUACCCCGA